RNAcentral lists this transfer RNA (73 nucleotides) under Cordylochernes scorpioides. RNAcentral describes it as "tRNA-Thr". It matches the Rfam family "tRNA". Rfam says of the family: Transfer RNA (tRNA) molecules are approximately 80 nucleotides in length. Their secondary structure includes four short double-helical elements and three loops (D, anti-codon, and T loops). The record is from RNAcentral. Lineage: Eukaryota; Metazoa; Arthropoda; Arachnida; Pseudoscorpiones; Chernetidae.
UCCAGGGUAGCCGAGUGGACAUGGCAUCUGCCAGGUAAGCGGAACAUUGUGGGUUCGAUUCCCAUCCCUGGAC